AUACGAAGGGGGCUAGCGUUGUUCGGAAUUACUGGGCGUUAAAAGCGCAUGUAGGCGGACAUUUAAGUCAGGGGUGAAAUCCCGGGGCUCAACCUCGGAACUGCCUUUGAUGCUGGGUGUCUAGAGUGUGGAAGAGGUAAGUGGAAUUCCGAGUGUAGAGGUGAAAUUCGUAGAUAUUCGGAGGAACACCAGUGGCGAAGGCGGCUUACUGGUCCAUUACUGACGCUGAGGUGCGAAAGCGUGGGGAGC
Molecule: ribosomal RNA, 249 nt
Filed under: uncultured bacterium
Lineage: Bacteria
Description: partial 16S ribosomal RNA
Rfam family: Bacterial small subunit ribosomal RNA
Source: RNAcentral